AUCUGAGGUCAUAACUAAUAAUUGACUGGAUACUCUCAGUAUACUUCCGUUUAUUAUUUCAUGUAAUAGUAAUGGCAGAAGUAGAUUUUUACCGAUUACUGCUGUUCCAUAUAUUGUAGAUCAUUUCUAAAGAACAUCUGUACUUCAUUGGACCUCCAUUCACCCGCCGCCAUUUUUACAUUCAUUUCUUAACUGAUAUACCGAAUUUCUUAGUCUUUUCAUAAUUAGACAGAAAUAAUUUUUGUAAUUCUAAUGUUAUUUCUUUACACCCACUAUGUUCUGUAAUAAGAAUAUACUGUUUAUUAGAUAAUUUAGAAAAAUA
Molecule: long non-coding RNA, 322 nt
Organism: Amphimedon queenslandica
Lineage: Eukaryota; Metazoa; Porifera; Demospongiae; Haplosclerida; Niphatidae
Exons: 2
Source: RefSeq, a predicted model, not a curated record